CGGUUGAAGUUUCUGGGCGGGGCCCCGGGCUCCGAGCGCGGUGCAUGGACGUCCCGGUGUGCGUGGUGCGCUUAUGCACCUACUUUCUCGCUUACGCGUGCGUGUACGCCUUCCUACACAUGUUGAUUUAUCUGUUCCACGGCCUCUUCCUGGAGGAAUAGGCCCAUCUGCGCCCUGUUCCCUCCGCCACCUCUCGGGGAGCCGGCAGAGUCCGGAGCAUCGCUUCCGUGGGCGCCCAGUUUGGCCAGAGACAAGCUGUCUUGCGAAUUCUCUACUCCUGGAGAAAUCUAGAUGAUUCAUCCAGUGAAUCCAUCCGAAAAAGCCAGAUUAAAAAAGGUAUCAAGCAUUGACUGAUUCCUGAUACAUUCUCUGCCUCGGCCCACAAGACCCGGUUUCGGUGAGCUGCGGGGCCGAUCUGCUGGACCCCCUUUGGAGACUUCCCAAGAUGGACCUUUCUCUGGCCACAGACCCCUCGGAGGCGGCUCUGGGCGCCCAGAACUUAAAAAUGUCUUUGUGGGAUUGUUUGUUAAGGUUUUAGAGCUUGUGUUUUCAAACAGCUGCCAGUUGGUAUUUGCUUUUCUCUGAAAUCUCUAAAUUUAAUGAAGUUGGAAAAAAAUGUGCAUUUCUGCCUUGUGACCAGGGCCCCAAUGAGUACAGUUAACUCUUCCGGGCCGGCGAACCCGUGCUCGGUGCCCCCGAGUCAGGGCCCAACACCUCUGCUAACAGCGGCUGCCACAGCCCGCGCUGCUUCCUCACGGGGACCCG
Sarcophilus harrisii (Tasmanian devil) is the source of this 765-nucleotide long non-coding RNA. RefSeq lists it as uncharacterized. The transcript is spliced from 3 exons. The record is from RefSeq and is a predicted model, not a curated record. Lineage: Eukaryota; Metazoa; Chordata; Mammalia; Dasyuromorphia; Dasyuridae.